AACGUAGGACGCAAGCGUUAUCCGGAGUUACUGGGCGUAAAGGGCAGGCAGGCGGGUCGAUAAGUCGGAUGUGAAAUCUCCCUGGCUUAACCGGGAGAGUGCAUUUGAGACUGUCAACCUGGAGGGCAGCAGAGGAGCGUGGAAUUCCGGGUGGAGUGGUGAAAUGCGUAGAGAUCGGGAGGAACACCUGUGGCGAAGGCGGCCGACUGGGCCGACCCUGACGCUGAGGCGCGAAGGCGUGGGGAGCGAACGGG
This 254-nucleotide ribosomal RNA is filed under the name uncultured bacterium. RNAcentral describes it as "partial 16S ribosomal RNA". It matches the Rfam family "Bacterial small subunit ribosomal RNA", at positions 524 to 776 of the family's 1533-position model. The record is from RNAcentral.